Molecule: non-coding RNA, 25 nt
Filed under: Rattus norvegicus (Norway rat)
Lineage: Eukaryota; Metazoa; Chordata; Mammalia; Rodentia; Muridae
Source: RNAcentral
AAAUAUAAGCCAGAGGUGCUUGUGA